AGUGAACGCUGGCGGUGCGCCUAACACAUGCAAGUCGAACGCCCCGCAAGGGGAGUGGCAGACGGGUGAGUAACGCGUGGGAACAUACCCUUUCCUGCGGAAUAGCUCUGGGAAACUGGAAUUAAUACCGCAUACGCCCUACGGGGGAAAGAUUUAUCGGGGAAGGAUUGGCCCGCGUUGGAUUAGCUAGUUGGUGGGGUAAAGGCCUACCAAGGCGACGAUCCAUAGCUGGUCUGAGAGGAUGAUCAGCCACAUUGGGACUGAGACACGGCCCAAACUCCUACGGGAGGCAGCAGUGGGGAAUAUUGGACAAUGGGCGCAAGCCUGAUCCAGCCAUGCCGCGUGAGUGAUGAAGGCCUUAGGGUUGUAAAGCUCUUUCACCGAUGAAGAUAAUGACGGUAGUCGGAGAAGAAGCCCCGGCUAACUUCGUGCCAGCCGCCGCCGUAA
Molecule: ribosomal RNA, 447 nt
Filed under: uncultured bacterium
Lineage: Bacteria
Description: partial 16S ribosomal RNA
Rfam family: Bacterial small subunit ribosomal RNA
Source: RNAcentral